GAUCCUGGCUCAGAUUGAACGCUGGCGGCAUGCCUAACACAUGCAAGUCGAACGGCAGCAUGAUGUGUAGCAAUACACAUUGAUGGCGAGUGGCGGACGGGGGAGUAAUGCAUAGGAAUUUACCUUAUAGUGGGGGACAACUCGAGGAAACUCGAGCUAAUACCGCAUAAGCCCUUCGGGGGAAAGCGGGGGACCUUCGGGCCUCGCGCUAUAAGAUGAGCCUAUGUCAGAUUAGCUAGUUGGUAGGGUAAAGGCCUACCAAGGCGAUGAUCUGUAGCUGGUUUGAGAGGAUGACCAGCCACACUGGGACUGAGACACGGCCCAGACUCCUACGGGAGGCAGCAGUGGGGAAUAUUGGACAAUGGGGGAAACCCUGAUCCAGCAAUGCCGCGUGUGUGAAGAAGGCCUGAGGGUUGUAAAGCACUUUUAUAGAGGAGGAAAAGUUACGUGCUAAUAUCACGGAGGCGUGACGUUACUUACAGAAGAAGCACCGGCUAACUCUGUGCCAGCAGCCGCGGUAAUACAGAGGGUGCAAGCGUUAAUCGGAAUUACUGGGCGUAAAGGGCACGUAGGUGGAAAAUUAAGUCGGAUGUGAAAUUCCCGGGCUCAACCUGGGAACUGCAUUCAAAACUGUCAGGCUAGAGUAUGGUAGAGGAUAGUGGAAUUUCAGGUGUAGCGGUGAAAUGCGUAGAGAUCGGAAGGAACAUCAGUGGCGAAGGCGGCUAUCUGGACCAAUACUGACGCUGAGGCGCGAAAGCGUGGGGAGCAAACAGGAUUAGAUACCAUGGUAGUCCACGCCGUAAACGAUGAGAACUAGCCGUCGGGGGCCUUGUGCCUUUGGUGGCGCAGCUAACGCAAUAAGUUCUCCGCCUGGGGAGUACGGCCGCAAGGCUAAAACUCAAAGGAAUUGACGGGGGCCCGCACAAGCGGUGGAGCAUGUGGUUUAAUUCGAUGCAACGCGAAGAACCUUACCAGGUCUUGACAUCCCGAGAAUUUACUAGAGAUAGUUUAGUGCCUUCGGGAACUCGGUGACAGGUGCUGCAUGGCUGUCGUCAGCUCGUGUCGUGAGAUGUUGGGUAAAGUCCCGUAACGAGCGCAACCCUUGUCCUUAGUUGCCAGCACGUACGGCCGGGAACUCUAGGGAGACUGCCGGUGACAAACCGGAGGAAGGUGGGGAUGACGUCAAGUCCUCAUGGCCCUUAUGGGCAGGGCUACACACGUGCUACAAUGGCCAGUACAGAGGGUUGCCAACCCGCAAGGGGGAGCUAAUCCCACAAAGCUGGUCGUAGUCCGGAUCGGAGUCUGCAACUCGACUCCGUGAAGUCGGAAUCGCUAGUAAUCGCGGAUCAGAAUGCCGCGGUGAAUACGUUCCCGGGCCUUGUACACACCGCCCGUCACACCAUGGGAGUGGGCUGUACCAGAAGUAGGUAGUCUAACCUUCGGGGGGGCGCUUACCACGGUAUGGUUCAUGACUGGGGUGAAGUCGUAACAAGGUAGCC
Molecule: ribosomal RNA, 1499 nt
Filed under: uncultured prokaryote
Description: partial 16S ribosomal RNA
Rfam family: Bacterial small subunit ribosomal RNA
Source: RNAcentral